Long non-coding RNA from Acyrthosiphon pisum (pea aphid), 773 nucleotides. RefSeq lists it as uncharacterized. The transcript is spliced from 4 exons. The record is from RefSeq and is a predicted model, not a curated record. NCBI's taxonomy places the organism in Eukaryota, Metazoa, Arthropoda, Insecta, Hemiptera, Aphididae.
GUAAUUUGUACAAAACCUAAAUGGUGAGGAUAUAAUAGUUUUGAAAGCUGAAAAAAACUAUCAAAGAAGCUAGUGCACUCCCAUAAUCAAAUGUUUAUAUGAUGAGCAUAAUGCAGUAGCUGUGAUACAUUUACAUUCACAAGAAGUAGUCAAAUUAUGUUUGUUAAAUCCAGAAAAUGAACUAACGAUUAUUACUGACUUAGAAAUGAUCAAAGAAAAAUCUUUGAAAUUGAUGAAGAACUUAUUAUACCAGUAAUUGAGGAUUCAAAAUACGAUCAAGAUUCAGCUGACUUUUUUAACACAACCCUGAGAAAAUAUCCCAGUACCUCUGUAGUUUUGUUCCGUAACCAUGGAAUGUAUGUAUGGACUAUAUGGGCAGUGAUUGGAAAUCAGUGAAAACCCAAUGUGAAUGCUAUGAAUAUUUAUUCAACAUAACAACUUUCAUGAAGAUACACAAUGUUUAAUUAAAUUAUACUCGUACAUGUAGACUACCUUAUUGGAGAGCAAUUGGGAGUUUUUCAUUCUAUUGAGGAAUUGAUUUAUUUAAUUUUUUUCAUGCUAAUAUAAAAAGGUCUUAUGAUUUAUUAUUUAUGAUAAAUUAUAUAAUUUGUGAGGAUAUUAUCUUUAUUACAAAAUUAUAUACAUUUUUAGUUAACAAGAACUCAUUUUUGUAAAUUAGUUGAUUCAACUGUGUUUAAGCAUCUAAAAUAUUAUGGUCUUUAUUGAUCUUUUUGAAUAAGUAAUCAUGUUUAAGUCCAGUCACUGAAUGUUUA